This 322-nucleotide unclassified non-coding RNA is filed under the name fungal sp. Its description in RNAcentral is "partial internal transcribed spacer region". The stretch from base 1 to 46 matches the Rfam family "Eukaryotic small subunit ribosomal RNA", at positions 1786 to 1831 of the family's 1831-position model. Lineage: Eukaryota; Fungi. The record is from RNAcentral.
AAGUCGUAACAAGGUUUCCGUAGGUGAACCUGCGGAAGGAUCAUUAUCACAAAUGAUUUUAACUCUCUUAAUCCAGAGUUAACCUCUUCUUAAACCAAUCUAACAAAAUGUGAAAUCGUUUUAUAUGUAUAUAUAUUUUUAUAUUCUCGCAAGAGAAUAUAUAUAUGUAUAUAUAUUAUUAACCAAUUGAACCUUUUUCUAUAUUGUUAUUUUAAUUAAAUUUAGUACUGAACUAUAUAUAUUGUUAUUCAAUAACAAUAUUAUAAUACAUUACGAAACAAUUUAAAUAAAACAACUCUUAGCAACGGAUAUCUUGGUUCUC